AUAAGGUUAAGUGAAUAAGGGCGCACGGUGGAUGCCUUGGCACUAGGAGCCGAUGAAGGACGGGACUAACACCGAUAUGCUUUGGGGAGCUGUACGUAAGCUAUGAUCCAGAGAUUUCCGAAUGGGGAAACCCAACAUCUUUUAUAGGAUGUUACGUUUGCGUGAAUACAUAGCGCAUUCGAGGUAGACGCAGAGAACUGAAACAUCUAAGUACCUGCAGGAAGAGAAAGAAAAUUCGAUUCCCUGAGUAGCGGCGAGCGAAACGGGAAAAGCCCAAACCAAUGAGCUUGCUCAUUGGGGUUGUAGGACUCCAAUAUGGUAGUUCUUUCAGAUAAUCGAAUGACUUGGAAAAGUCAGUCAAAGAGGGUAAAAACCCCGUAGAUGAAAUUUGGAAGGCACCUAGGAGGAUCCUGAGUACGGCGGAACACGAGGAAUUCCGUCGGAAUCCGGGAGGACCAUCUCCCAAGGCUAAAUACUCCCUAGUGACCGAUAGUGAACCAGUACCGUGAGGGAAAGGUGAAAAGCACCCCGGAAGGGGAGUGAAAUAGAACCUGAAACCGUGUGCCUACAACAAGUCAAAGCCCGUUAAUGGGUGAUGGCGUGCCUUUUGUAGAAUGAACCGGCGAGUUACGAUUGCAUGCGAGGUUAAGUCGAAGAGACGGAGCCGUAGCGAAAGCGAGUCUGAAUAGGGCGUUUGAGUAUGUAGUCGUAGACCCGAAACCAUGUGAUCUACCCAUGUCCAGGUUGAAGGUGCGGUAAAACGCACUGGAGGACCGAACCCACGUACGUUGAAAAGUGCGGGGAUGAGGUGUGGGUAGCGGAGAAAUUCCAAACGAACUUGGAGAUAGCUGGUUCUCUCCGAAAUAGCUUUAGGGCUAGCCUCGGAUUUGAGAAUGAUGGAGGUAGAGCACUGUUUGGACUAGGGGCCCAUCUCGGGUUACCGAAUUCAGAUAAACUCCGAAUGCCAUUCAUUCAUAUCCGGGAGUCAGACUGUGAGUGAUAAGAUCCAUAGUCGAAAGGGAAACAGCCCAGACCACCAGCUAAGGUCCCAAAAUAUAUGUUAAGUGGAAAAGGAUGUGGGGUUGCACAGACAACUAGGAUGUUGGCUCAGAAGCAGCCACCAUUUAAAGAGUGCGUAAUAGCUCACUAGUCGAGUGACCCUGCGCCGAAAAUGUACCGGGGCUAAACAUAUUACCGAAGCUGUGGAGUACACCAUUAGGUGUAUUGGUAGGAGAGCGUUCUAAGGGCGUUGAAGGCAGAUCGUGAGGACUGCUGGAGCGCUUAGAAGUGAGAAUGCCGGUAUGAGUAGCGAAAGACAGGUGAGAAUCCUGUCCACCGAAUGACUAAGGUUUCCUGGGGAAGGCUCGUCCGCCCAGGGUUAGUCGGGACCUAAGCCGAGGCCGACAGGCGUAGGCGAUGGACAACAGGUUGAUAUUCCUGUACUCGUUGUUUUUGUUUGAGCAAUGGAGGGACGCAGGAGGCUAAGGAAUGCAGACGAUUGGAAAUGUCUGUCCAAGCAGUAAGUCUUGAUAGGAGUCAAAUGCUUCUGUCUACACGGAUAAGCUGUGAUGGGGAGGGAAAUAAUAGUACCGAAGUUCCUGAUGUCACACUGCCAAGAAAAGCUUCUAGUGAGAAAACAAUGACCCGUACCGCAAACCGACACAGGUAGUCGAGGAGAGAAUCCUAAGGUGAGCGAGAGAACUCUCGUUAAGGAACUCGGCAAAAUGACCCCGUAACUUCGGGAGAAGGGGUGCUGAUCUUUGAUCAGCCGCAGUGAAUAGGCCCAAGCGACUGUUUAUCAAAAACACAGGUCUCUGCAAAAUCGUAAGAUGAAGUAUAGGGGCUGACGCCUGCCCGGUGCUGGAAGGUUAAGAGGAGUGCUUAGCGUAAGCGAAGGUACGAAUUGAAGCCCCAGUAAACGGCGGCCGUAACUAUAACGGUCCUAAGGUAGCGAAAUUCCUUGUCGGGUAAGUUCCGACCCGCACGAAAGGCGUAACGAUUUGGGCACUGUCUCAACGAGAGACUCGGUGAAAUUUUAGUACCUGUGAAGAUGCAGGUUACCCGCGACAGGACGGAAAGACCCCAUGGAGCUUUACUGUAGUUUGAUAUUGAGUGUCUGUACCGCAUGUACAGGAUAGGUAGGAGCCGUAGAAAUCGGAACGCUAGUUUCGAUGGAGGCGCUGGUGGGAUACUACCCCUGCGUUAUGGCCACUCUAACCCGCACCACUGAUCGUGGUGGGAGACAGUGUCAGAUGGGCAGUUUGACUGGGGCGGUCGCCUCCUAAAAGGUAACGGAGGCGCCCAAAGGUUCCCUCAGAAUGGUUGGAAAUCAUUCGAAGAGUGUAAAGGCAGAAGGGAGCUUGACUGCGAGACCAACAAGUCGAGCAGGGACGAAAGUCGGGCUUAGUGAUCCGGUGGUUCCGCAUGGAAGGGCCAUCGCUCAACGGAUAAAAGCUACCCUGGGGAUAACAGGCUUAUCUCCCCCAAGAGUCCACAUCGACGGGGAGGUUUGGCACCUCGAUGUCGGCUCGUCGCAUCCUGGGGCUGUAGUCGGUCCCAAGGGUUGGGCUGUUCGCCCAUUAAAGCGGCACGCGAGCUGGGUUCAGAACGUCGUGAGACAGUUCGGUCCCUAUCCGUCGCGGGCGUUGGAAAUUUGAGAGGAGCUGUCCUUAGUACGAGAGGACCGGGAUGGACUUACCGCUGGUGUACCAGUUGUUCUGCCAAGGGCAUUGCUGGGUAGCUAUGUAGGGAAGGGAUAAACGCUGAAAGCAUCUAAGUGUGAAGCCCACCUCAAGAUGAGAUUUCCCAUUUCUUUAAGAAAGUAAGAUCCCUGAGAGAUGAUCAGGUAGAUAGGUCAGGAGUGGAAGGCCAGUGAUGGUUGGAGCGGACUGAUACUAAUCGAUCGAGGACUUAACCAAA
Molecule: ribosomal RNA, 2919 nt
Filed under: Enterococcus durans
Lineage: Bacteria; Bacillati; Bacillota; Bacilli; Lactobacillales; Enterococcaceae
Description: bacterial LSU rRNA
Rfam family: Bacterial large subunit ribosomal RNA
Source: RNAcentral